GUGUCAGCAGCCGCGGUAAUACAGAGGUCCCGAGCGUUGUUCGGAUUCACUGGGCGUAAAGGGUGCGUAGGCGGCUGGGUAAGUCUGAUGUGAAAUCUCCGGGCCCAACCCGGAAAUGGCAUUAGAAACUACCUGGCUGGAGGCUUGGAGGGGGAACUGGAAUACUUGGUGUAGCAGUGAAAUGCGUAGAUAUCAAGUGGAACACCGGUGGCGAAGGCGAGUUCCUGGACAAGACCUGACGCUGAGGCACGAAAGCUAGGGGAGCAAACAGGAUUAGAAACCCGUGUAGUCC
RNAcentral lists this ribosomal RNA (292 nucleotides) under uncultured bacterium. Its description in RNAcentral is "partial 16S ribosomal RNA". It matches the Rfam family "Bacterial small subunit ribosomal RNA", at positions 505 to 796 of the family's 1533-position model. The record is from RNAcentral.